Molecule: ribosomal RNA, 389 nt
Filed under: uncultured bacterium
Lineage: Bacteria
Description: bacterial SSU rRNA
Rfam family: Bacterial small subunit ribosomal RNA
Source: RNAcentral
GACGAACGCUGGCGGCGUGCUUAACACAUGCAAGUCGAGCGGUAAGGCCCUUUCGGGGGUACACGAGCGGCGAACGGGUGAGUAACACGUGGGUGACCUGCCUUUAGCUCUGGGAUAAGCCUGGGAAACUGGGUCUAAUACCGGAUAUGACCCUAUGGCGCAUGUUGUGGGGUGGAAAGCCUUGUGCGGCUAGGGGAUGGGCCCGCGGCCUAUCAGCUUGUUGGUGGGGUGAUGGCCUACCAAGGCGGCGACGGGUAGCCGGCCUGAGAGGGCGACCGGCCACACUGGGACUGAGACACGGCCCAGACUCCUACGGGAGGCAGCAGUGGGGAAUCUUGCGCAAUGGGCGAAAGCCUGACGCAGCGACGCCGCGUGAGGGAUGACGGCCU